Molecule: ribosomal RNA, 253 nt
Filed under: uncultured bacterium
Lineage: Bacteria
Description: partial 16S ribosomal RNA
Rfam family: Bacterial small subunit ribosomal RNA
Source: RNAcentral
UACGAAGGGGGCUAGCGUUGCUCGGAAUCACUGGGCUUAAAGGGCGCGUAGGCGGGUGCUCAAGUCUGUGGUGAAAUCCUCCGGCUCAACCGGAGAACUGCCAUGGAUACUGGGCGUCUCGAGUGUGGUAGGGGUAUGCGGAACUAUCGGUGGAGCGGUGAAAUGCGUUGAUAUCGAUAGGAACUCCGGUGGCGAAGGCGGCAUACUGGACCACCACUGACGCUGAUGCGCGAAAGCCAGGGGAGCAAACGGG